This is a long non-coding RNA of Alligator sinensis (Chinese alligator), 231 nucleotides long. RefSeq lists it as uncharacterized. NCBI's taxonomy places the organism in Eukaryota, Metazoa, Chordata, Crocodylia, Alligatoridae. The transcript is spliced from 3 exons. The record is from RefSeq and is a predicted model, not a curated record.
UUGUAAUUAGCAGGCAAUCUUUGAGUAAAGUAAGUAAGGCUAUUGUGAGGAUGACAAGGCUGGUAUGCUGGGGGUCAGAACCAAAGGAUUCCUUUUCUAGUAGUUGGAGCCAAGUAGAGGAGAAACUAGGAGCUGCAAAAAAGCUGUAGAGUCCAGUUAAAGCCCAGUCUUAGCUCUGGACUCACAGGUGCAGGUCUUGGAUCUGCACUUGGGACUAGUUUGCCUCCCCCA